CACUGUGGAAUUCGCCCUUCUUCGGUCAUAGAUUAAGCCAUGCAAGUGUUAGCAUAGGAAACUAUACUGCGAACAGCUCAUUAAUACGCUCAGAAUCUACUUGGCAAAGAAAGAGCUCUGCUCUGGGCAACAGCAGUAAUUCUGGUGCCAAUCCAGGAAAAUCUUUUAUCGGACAUGAGUUACGAGCUAAGAAGAUUGACCGCAAGGCAUGUCAAUCGAUUGAGCGACCUAUCAGCUUGUACUUAGGGUCUUUACCUAGGUAGGCUAUAACGGGUAACGGGCGGUUACCGUCGUACUGCCGGAGAAGGCGCCUGAGAAAUAGCGACUAUACCUACGGGUAGCAGCAGGCGCGAAACUUACCCACUCGAGACGCUCGGAGGUGGUAAUGACCAGUUUCGAGACAACUCCAUACGGGGUUGCUUGGAUAGGAUUACACAUUUCCAGUGUAGUGAAACCUAGCAGAGGGCCAGUCUGGUGCCAGCAGCUGCGGUAAUUCCAGCUCUGCCAGUGUACUCCCAUAUUGUUGCAGUUAAAACGCCCGUAGUCAGAAUCGCGAAGGAUGAGCGGGGCAACUCGCGUUCACUGUGAACAAAUCAGAAUGCUUAGUAUAGGGCUUUCAGAAUGACAAAGCGCAGCAUGAUAUCUUUACCAACGGUAAGAUCAAAGAGAGCCAUCGGGGGUAGAUCUAUUUCAUGGCGAGCGGUGGAAUGCAAUAACCCAUGAGAGAGAAACGNAGGCGAAAGCAUCUACCUAGGGGGUUUCUGUCGAUCAAGGGCGAGAGUAGGAGUAUCGAACCGGAUUAGAGACCCGGGUAGUUCCUACCGUAAACGAUGCCGACAAGGGCUUAUCCGAGACAUCGGGUAGGACCAUCGGAGAAAUCAUAGUUCAUGGGCUCUGGGGGAACUACGACCGCAAGGCUGAAACUUGAAGGAAUUGACGGAAGGGCACACCAGGGGUGGAGCUUGUGGCUUAAUUUGAAUCAACACGGGGAAACUUACCAGGACCAGAUGUUAUAAAAGACUGACAGGCUUUGGGUCUUUCAGGAUUAGACUUUGGGUGGUGCAUGGCCGUUGGUGGUGCGUGGGUUGACCUGUCUAGCGUUGAUUCAGAUAACGAGCGAGAUUACCGCCAAUUUAAUAGUUUGUAUUUAAGCGAAUGCAAAAUACUAAUUGGGACUCCCUGCGUCUAAGCAGGAGGAAGAGGGUAGCAAUAACAGGUCCGUGAUGUCCUUUAGAUGCCCUGGGCUGCACGCGCGCUACAAUGUGAGGAUCAAAGAGUUACGAGCCUCGACAGGGCGAGUUACUCUGAUAAACCCUCACGUACCUGGGAUUGACAGUUGUAAUCACUGUCAUGAACCAGGAAUCCCUUGUAAGCAUGUGUCAACAACGCAUGUUGAAUACGUCCCUGCCCUUUGUACACACCGCCCGUCGCUCCUACCGAUGGAUGAUUUGGUGAAGUCAUGCGGAGGAACUCAGGGGCUUCUCUGAGGGCCGAAGGUGAUUGAAUCAUAUUAUCUAGAGGAAGGAGAAGUCGUAACAAGGAAGGGCGAAUUCCACAUU
Molecule: ribosomal RNA, 1559 nt
Filed under: Snyderella nazca
Lineage: Eukaryota; Parabasalia; Cristamonadida
Description: SSU rRNA
Rfam family: Eukaryotic small subunit ribosomal RNA
Source: RNAcentral